This 1172-nucleotide ribosomal RNA is filed under the name Bacillus albus. RNAcentral's name for it is "bacterial SSU rRNA". It matches the Rfam family "Bacterial small subunit ribosomal RNA", at positions 59 to 1212 of the family's 1533-position model. The record is from RNAcentral. Lineage: Bacteria; Bacillati; Bacillota; Bacilli; Caryophanales; Bacillaceae.
CAGUCGAGCGAAUGGAUUAAGAGCUUGCUCUUAUGAAGUUAGCGGCGGACGGGUGAGUAACACGUGGGUAACCUGCCCAUAAGACUGGGAUAACUCCGGGAAACCGGGGCUAAUACCGGAUAACAUUUUGAACCGCAUGGUUCGAAAUUGAAAGGCGGCUUCGGCUGUCACUUAUGGAUGGACCCGCGUCGCAUUAGCUAGUUGGUGAGGUAACGGCUCACCAAGGCAACGAUGCGUAGCCGACCUGAGAGGGUGAUCGGCCACACUGGGACUGAGACACGGCCCAGACUCCUACGGGAGGCAGCAGUAGGGAAUCUUCCGCAAUGGACGAAAGUCUGACGGAGCAACGCCGCGUGAGUGAUGAAGGCUUUCGGGUCGUAAAACUCUGUUGUUAGGGAAGAACAAGUGCUAGUUGAAUAAGCUGGCACCUUGACGGUACCUAACCAGAAAGCCACGGCUAACUACGUGCCAGCAGCCGCGGUAAUACGUAGGUGGCAAGCGUUAUCCGGAAUUAUUGGGCGUAAAGCGCGCGCAGGUGGUUUCUUAAGUCUGAUGUGAAAGCCCACGGCUCAACCGUGGAGGGUCAUUGGAAACUGGGAGACUUGAGUGCAGAAGAGGAAAGUGGAAUUCCAUGUGUAGCGGUGAAAUGCGUAGAGAUAUGGAGGAACACCAGUGGCGAAGGCGACUUUCUGGUCUGUAACUGACACUGAGGCGCGAAAGCGUGGGGAGCAAACAGGAUUAGAUACCCUGGUAGUCCACGCCGUAAACGAUGAGUGCUAAGUGUUAGAGGGUUUCCGCCCUUUAGUGCUGAAGUUAACGCAUUAAGCACUCCGCCUGGGGAGUACGGCCGCAAGGCUGAAACUCAAAGGAAUUGACGGGGGCCCGCACAAGCGGUGGAGCAUGUGGUUUAAUUUGAAGCAACGCGAAGAACCUUACCAGGUCUUGACAUCCUUUGACAACCCUAGAGAUAGGGCUUUUCCUUCGGGAGCAGAGUGACAGGUGGUGCAUGGUUGUCGUCAGCUCGUGUCGUGAGAUGUUGGGUUAAGUCCCGCAACGAGCGCAACCCUUGAUUUUAGUUGCCAUCAUUAAGUUGGGCACUUUAAGGUGACUGCCGGUGACAAACCGGAGGAAGGUGGGGAUGACGUCAAAUCAUCAUGCCCCUUAUGACCUGG